RNAcentral lists this ribosomal RNA (492 nucleotides) under uncultured bacterium. Its description in RNAcentral is "partial 16S ribosomal RNA". It matches the Rfam family "Bacterial small subunit ribosomal RNA", at positions 29 to 507 of the family's 1533-position model. The record is from RNAcentral.
AGUGAACGCUGGCGGUAGGCCUAACACAUGCAAGUCGAACGGCAGCACAGUAAGAGCUUGCUCUUACGGGUGGCGAGUGGCGGACGGGUGAGGAAUACAUCGGAAUCUACUUUUUCGUGGGGGAUAACGUAGGGAAACUUACGCUAAUACCGCAUACGACCUACGGGUGAAAGCAGGGGAUCUUCUGACCUUGCGCGAUUGAAUGCGCCGAUGUCGGAUUGGCUAGUUGGCGGGGUAAAGGCCCACCAAGGCGCCGAUCCGUAGCUGGUGUGAGAGGCUGGUCGGCCACACGGGAACGGAGCCGCGGUCAAGGCUCCUGCGGUAGGCAGCAGUGGGGAAUAUUGGACAAUGGUGGGAAGCCUGAUCCAGCCAGACCGAGUGGGAGGAGGAGGCCUUCGGGUUGUAAAGCCCUUUUGUUGGGAAAGAAAAGCAGCAGGUUAAUACCCCGCUGUUCUGACGGUACCCAAAGAAUAAGCACCGGCUAACUUCGUG